This 274-nucleotide ribosomal RNA is filed under the name uncultured bacterium. RNAcentral's name for it is "partial 16S ribosomal RNA". It matches the Rfam family "Archaeal small subunit ribosomal RNA", at positions 473 to 747 of the family's 1478-position model. The record is from RNAcentral.
AAACCAGCACCUCAAGUGGUCAGGAUGAUUAUUGGGCCUAAAGCAUCCGUAGCCUGCUCUGUAAGUUUUCGGUUAAAUCUGUAUGCUCAACAUACAGGCUGCCGGGAAUACUGCAGAGCUAGGGAGUGGGAGAGGUAGACGGUACUCGGGAGGAAGUGGUAAAAUGCUUUGAUCUCUCGAUGACCACCUGCGGCGAAGGCGGUCUACCAGAACACGUCCGACGGUGAGGGAUGAAAGCUGGGGGAGCAAACCGGAUUAGAAACCCGUGUAGUCC